AGAGUUUGAUCCUGGCUCAGGAUGAACGCUAGCGAUAGGCUUAACACAUGCAAGUCGAGGGGCAUCAGGGCUUGUAGUAAUAUAACUGCUGGCGACCGGCGCACGGGUGAGUAACACGUAUGCAACCUACCCACUACAGGGGGAUAGCCCGGAGAAAUCCGGAUUAAUACCGCAUAUAACGGAAUUUCCGCAUGGGAGCUUCGUUAAAGAUUUAUCGGUGAAGGAUGGGCCCGCGGCCUAUCAGCUUGUUGGUGAGGUAGUGGCUCACCAAGGCGACGACGGGUAACCGGCCUGAGAGGGCGACCGGUCACAUUGGGACUGAGACACGGCCCAGACUCCUACGGGAGGCAGCAGUGGGGGAAUAUUGCGCAAUGGGCGAAAGCCUGACGCAGCGACGCCGCGUGGCGGGAUGAACGGCCUUCGGGGUUGAAACCGCCUUUCGGCAGGGACGAACCAAAGGUG
RNAcentral lists this ribosomal RNA (462 nucleotides) under uncultured bacterium. Its description in RNAcentral is "bacterial SSU rRNA". It matches the Rfam family "Bacterial small subunit ribosomal RNA", at positions 8 to 458 of the family's 1533-position model. The record is from RNAcentral.